GAAGUGCGAUAAGCAAUGCGAAUUGCAGAACCGUGAGUCAUCAGAUUUUUGAACGCAACUGGCGCUGGCUGGGUCUCCAGCCAGCAUGCUUGUUUCAGUGUCUUAUUUUCUCCUCACCCAAACCUUAAUGCGAGAGAUACCCUUCUCUUGCUAAGCAUGAAAGCACAUUGCACCUGCGAGCGACUUCUUGACUAGUUCAGGAGUCGCACUCAAUGCAGCCGUCACAUUUCUCACAAUGUGAACUCAUUGAGAGCAGAGGCUGUCAGCUAACGCUGUCGGUGCUUAGUCACUCAAACUUUCUUUGCAUCUGAAAUCAAGCAGGACCACCCGCUGAACUUAAGC
Molecule: unclassified non-coding RNA, 342 nt
Filed under: plant metagenome
Description: partial contains 5.8S ribosomal RNA, internal transcribed spacer 2, and large subunit ribosomal RNA
Rfam family: 5.8S ribosomal RNA (bases 1-103)
Source: RNAcentral